AUCAUCAAGUGAUGAAUCAUGGAAAAUCUUAGGACACCUUCCUACAUAGCUUCUUUAGCUAUGGAUGAGAUUAACAUUUCCGUUCUGAUGAUGAU
Non-coding RNA from Jatropha curcas, 95 nucleotides. The record is from Rfam. NCBI's taxonomy places the organism in Eukaryota, Viridiplantae, Streptophyta, Magnoliopsida, Malpighiales, Euphorbiaceae.